Molecule: transfer-messenger RNA, 336 nt
Filed under: Rhodospirillales bacterium
Lineage: Bacteria; Pseudomonadati; Pseudomonadota; Alphaproteobacteria; Rhodospirillales
Rfam family: Alphaproteobacteria transfer-messenger RNA
About the family: Bacterial tmRNA, also known as 10Sa RNA or SsrA, is named for its dual tRNA and mRNA-like properties.
Source: RNAcentral
GCCCUUCCCUUGGCCGUGCUUAGGCCUUAUAUUGGUUACGUCGGGCAACCGACUAUGACGAUAAACGCUAUACGGAAUAAUCGUUACGGACCCGGGGGCAGUGCCCGGCGCCUCCACCACUUUCUUUUCCGGGUCUUCGGCGGCUUCGGAACCAGGCAAGGGGGGGCGAAACAGGAUCGACGUGCGUGGUAAAGGUAUGGUUUUCGGCCGGCAUGGUACCCACCGUUAUCGGGCCAACACUAUGAAUGCCAACGAUAAUGAGGCAUUUGCAGUUGCCGCCUAACGGCUAAGCAACUACGGGGUCCGGGGGGCACCUGGCAACAGAAGCCCCCCACU